GGGCGCUUAGCUCAGUUGGUAGAGCAGCUGACUCUUAAUCAGCGGGUCGCAGGUUCGAAUCCUGCAGCGCCCACCA
This 76-nucleotide transfer RNA is filed under the name Alphaproteobacteria bacterium GWA2_41_27. Its description in RNAcentral is "tRNA-Lys". It matches the Rfam family "tRNA". From Rfam's summary of the family: Transfer RNA (tRNA) molecules are approximately 80 nucleotides in length. RNAcentral also lists the same sequence under 13 other names. The record is from RNAcentral. Lineage: Bacteria; Pseudomonadati; Pseudomonadota; Alphaproteobacteria.